GACGAACCGGCCGAACGUUAUUCGGAAUCAUUGGGCUUAAAGGGUGCGUAGGCGGUGCGGUAAGUUGGGUGUGAAAUCCCUCGGCUCAACCGAGGAACUGCGCUUAAUACUGCCGUGCUUGAGGAAGACAGAGGCGAGCGGAACUGAUGGUGGAGCGGUGAAAUGCGUUGAUAUCAUCAGGAACACCAGUGGCGAAAGCGGCUCGCUGGGUCUUUUCUGACGCUGAGGCACGAAAGCUAGGGUAGCGAACAGG
This 253-nucleotide ribosomal RNA is filed under the name uncultured bacterium. RNAcentral describes it as "partial 16S ribosomal RNA". It matches the Rfam family "Bacterial small subunit ribosomal RNA", at positions 524 to 776 of the family's 1533-position model. The record is from RNAcentral.